AUUAUAGUGGCCCUUGACGGUUUCCGUGAGGGGAUAAAACGUUCCAUUGCGGAAAAAGGGAACAAGGUGCCGCGAUUUCGCAUCGCAAUGCCUGGGCUGCCCCCGCAACUGUAAGCGGCGAGCCGGUCUUUCGACAACGCCACUGAGGCCGAAACGCCUUGGGAAGGCAGAAAGAUCAGCCAAGACCCGCGAGCCAGGAGACCUGCCGUCAUUCAUUGCCUGUGC
RNAcentral lists this non-coding RNA (225 nucleotides) under Rhodospirillaceae bacterium LM-1. The record is from RNAcentral. Lineage: Bacteria; Pseudomonadati; Pseudomonadota; Alphaproteobacteria; Rhodospirillales; Rhodospirillaceae.